Molecule: transfer RNA, 76 nt
Filed under: Methylovulum sp.
Lineage: Bacteria; Pseudomonadati; Pseudomonadota; Gammaproteobacteria; Methylococcales; Methylococcaceae
Also listed under: 6 other names
Description: tRNA-Lys
Rfam family: tRNA
About the family: Transfer RNA (tRNA) molecules are approximately 80 nucleotides in length. Their secondary structure includes four short double-helical elements and three loops (D, anti-codon, and T loops).
Source: RNAcentral
GGGGUGUUAGCUCAGUUGGUAGAGCAGUGGACUCUUAAUCCAUAGGUCUAGGGUUCGAAUCCCUAACACCCCACCA